CACCAUUGCCUAAUUUCCAUUUCUCAAGUUUCAAUCUUUUCAUUUUAAACACUUCCAAUUGUGAGAAGCUGCCUUCCACACAAUUCAGGUUAAAGGAAUCCCCCUCAUAACAUCUAUCUCCCGUAAGUCUCAAAAUUUUGAGUUUGGUGAGAUUUCCCAAACCAUUCAUCCCCUCAUCACUAAUGCAACCAAUCUCUAACAACUCUAACUCCAUAACGUUUGGAGGAAAUGUGAGUGCAUAGGUCAGAAGGUAAAAAACAUAGUUAAUCAUUAAGGAAGUUAGACAAUUGAACUGCCCUAGGCUUUGCAAUAGUUCUUGCGGCUUGCAACCUUUGUCAUACUCAUACCAGAGGACAAUCUCUAACUGACUCAAAUGACUUGAUUGUUGUAGGCUUUGCAACAAUUUGGUUAAUUCACCAUCUCUGUAUUCAGAAGUCACAUACAACCUUAUCAUCUUAAGAUUGGGGAAUGUUCCUUUCUUUAUCAGAGAUGUUGCUUGUCUGUUGACUACGAAGCCAGAGAUGGUUUGAAGAUUCCACAUCUUCUCAUCUGAUCCUGAACAACUGCCUCGUAGCUUGAUACGCCCUUGUGCAUUCAAAUGCCUUAAAUGUUUAAGUUUCCACAUUUCGACUGGGAAAGAAAUUUCAGUCACAUACCUCCAAUAACUUAGGUCUAUGAUUUGUAGAUUCCAAAGGUGAAGUAUUGAAGAUGGAACAAAUGUAAAAUCAGGUGUUGCUUCAAUUCUCAAGUACCUUAAGUGGAUAAAGUUCCCAAAAUUAGAAAGGGUGGUAAGGCGGGUUGGUCCAAGCUCCAACACUCGAACCAAUUUGAAGUCUUUUGAAAGCCAUUUCCACUGCUUCCCAGUACCAAAGUCAUCUUGGCCAAAUAAGAACAGGGAUCGGAUACAUGAAUGAUCAUUGUUGCUCGAAGAAAUGUAAUGACCCACCUUACAGUGAAUGGAUAGUCUACGAGGUUUUGUCGGGAUUAGAGUGUUAUUGUCUGUGCAAAUUUCAAAAACUUUGUCCUCUUUGCUCUCUGAUAUGCAGAGGUCUCGAAGAAGAUCAUGAACGUGAACAUUUCUAUUAGUCUUCCCUUUUGCUUUUUGGACCAAACUACGAUCGAUGAGCUCAUACAAGUAGUCUUCAGCAACUUCAUCUGGGUCUCUAUUCCCUGUAUCUUGUAUAAAACCCUCCGCAACCCAUUUUUGCAAUAAUGGCGUAACAGGGAUUUGAAAGUCUUCAGGAAAUAUCCCAAGAUAGAGAAAGCAUGGUUUUAAUCUCCUUGGCAAGUUGUCAUAGCUGAGUUUGAGAACUAUAUCCUUCACCUGGGUCUCAUCUCGAGUGAGAUACCAAUUAACAUGACCCACCACUUUUGACCAUUCUCUAUGAGAUUUUUCCUUGUAGGCUAGAAGUCCUGCUAAGACAAUGAUGGAGAGCGGCAAACCACGACAACUUUGAACCAUUUGCUUUCCAAGAGUCUCCAAAUCAGAAGGGUAGUCUUCACCUCUAAACACUUUUCUGCAAAACAACUCCCAACUUUCUUUUUCAUCCAGGAACUGGAGAUGGUAAGGAAGAUCAUGGGAAGUAUGCAGUGCCACCUCUUUCAAACGACUAGUGAUCAAUACUCUGCUGCCUCUGUUGUUGUCCGGAAAAACAUCUUGCACCUCGUCCCAAUCUUGCCUUUUCCACAGGUCAUCUACCACCACAAGAUAUGUUCUACUCUCCAAGCUGUUUCGCACCAGUUUCUUCAGCUCCUCCUCACUCAAGCUACUAUUGUCUUGAGUGCUUUUCUUUCCUUUCUUCUUGCCUCUGCAUUGUUGUUCAAAAUUUGGCAUCAAAUGCUUAAGAAGGCCAAGCAAAAGCUCCCUAACUCUGCACUCGUUUGACACAUAAACCCACGCUCGACACUCGAAGUGUUGCUUCACCUCGUUGCUGUUAUAGACCUUCCGGGCAAGGGUGGUCUUGCCCAAUCCCCCCAUGCCAAUGAUAGAGACAACUUUACGAUUUGAACCACCUUCCAAGAGUCGUUUGAUGAUAUCCUUGGAGUCAUCGACAAAGCCAACCACAUUUUCUUCCUCUACAUCUCUUCUUAGCUUGUGUAAUGAUUGCGCCCUUUCCUUCUCCUCCUCCUCUUCUGCUGCAGAUUGAUUAUUGAUUUCUUUGAAAGCAUCAUAUUUGUCCUUGUUUUCGCGUAUUUCGUUGAGAGUGGUUUUGAUCUUGUCUAUUUUGUCGGCUACGUGGUGAAGCAACCUUGCUUGGGCAAAGCCACGGAGCAUCCUCCCCAGUAUGGUUCUCCUCUUGUAAAUGGCAACUUUGGCUACGAAAGUGUCGAUGACAUCCUCAGCUAGGUGGGCCACAUCUCUGAUUUGGUUCACCACUGUAUUUUCAAUUCCCUUCUUUCUCUUUGAGGUAUUGAGAAGGUCGUUGAUCAUUUGAAGCUCGUUCUGAAGGGACUGGACUCUGUCCUCCACGCCAUACAGCAAGUUAGCUUCGUGUGCCACAAGCUGGGAUAAGUGAUCCAAAACAAAAGUAACUACACUGUCUGGCAUUACACUGUCUGCCAUUACAGCAUAGACGUGCCUGCAGAUUUUGAUCUGUGCUUAGAUAAUGUGUUUGUGGUUGGUGAUGGAAGAAGAGGAAGAAUGAUUUACUAAGGAAGAAUGAAAAAACAAUGGAAGGAGAACUUGAUUGUAUAGCUUGCAGCCACACACUAAAGAAUAUAUAAUGGAAAGUGGUUGCCAUUGACUUUGCGUCAACCAUGAAUACGGUUGGAAUAUUUAUGAUGAUACAACAUUUAAUUGCAUAAUAACACCUUCCACUCAUUUAAUUGCAUAUUGCUCUGUGGCAUUGCAACAGUCCAAUUUCAAUAUUUUUAUUUAUUUAAUAUUAGUAAAACUUUCUCUUCCAAUAUGAAAUAAAUAUAAAGACAGAUGAGUAGACAUAGCAGGAAGGUGCCAUGUUACUCAGCAAUAUGAAAUUAAAUGUUUCAUAAAUAUUCCAACAACUUUUAAACUACAUUCAAAAUGGAAUUAAAUGUUUCAUAAAUAUUCCAACAAUUUUUAAACUACAUUCAAAAUAGAAUUAAAUGUUUCAUAAAUAUUCCAACAACUUUUAAUGGAAGGUUUGUAACAACGUGUUUUUUUUUAAAAAAAAAACACCAACAUGAACCUUAUCCCCCUGCACCACAAUACCUCUUUUAUUUUUUUUCUCUUUCUCUUUCUCUUUCUCUUUCUUUUUCUCUUUCUCUUUCUAAAUCUUUCCCUUCUCUCUUAAUUUUCCCCUCCCAAUCUUCAUCUAUUUUAGAAUUUGAUCGGAUCACGUUGUAGCUGGCGAGUUAAAGACCAUUUCUACCCGAUCAGAUUUUCAAACAGAGUAAGUUCAUUUUUACUCUAAAUAUCCUUUGUUCUCUGUUUUUUCUUAGGAUUUAGUCAUCAAUCUUGGUGGGGUCAGUUGAGAAGUUUAACCCUCUCAACUUAUUCUACUAUAUACUAAAUUUUGUUCUGUUUGGAUAAUUUGCAUUAGGCCCGUAAAUCUUGAAGCUUAUCCAAACGGUGGGGAAUAAAAUUCUAAAAGUUGCUUGAAAAGCAAGCAAUUGAGGUAAGGGAAGCUAAAUUUAAUUUUUUAUAGCACCCUAGGAUAGAAGAUCUGAAUGCGGAAGGGACGUGGUCCCAAUAUUGAUUUUCUCGUGCAGGGGUGUUAUUUGUUUAUAUAUUAUUUAAACUUUAUAAAUAUUAUAUUUUGAUAGCUUGAGAGUUAAAUAUUGUUUUUGACGUUGAAAAAGUUCUGGAAUGAUAUGAAUUUUUAAAUGUUAUGUGAUUGAAUGAUAUGUAUUAUAUGCGGAUGAUGUAAAUUGUAUGAAAGUGAUGUCAUACAUUUGGGAUAAUGUAUGAGUUGUUGUUUGAUGGUACGUUAAGUAUGAAAAGCCUAUGUUUAACGGAGAUCCUCUGGCUUCACUAAUGAUCUAAGUCAUGUAGACUAAGAUAUUAGGUGGUGAGAAGCUGAGAGGGAGUUCAUACACACCGGGUCCCACUGUAGACACUCGGUAUUGGAUGUUUGAACUUACCCUGAUCCUUUCUAUUAGAUUCGCUGGUAAUCUUUGGGUCAGGUGUUAGUCUCUGGUAGGGACAUACUUAAUGAGUCUUCCGGAAGAUGAAGUGGGAUUGAAAUGAAAUCCAAUGAUUGUGAUUGAAAAUAGAUCCAUGUGUGGUCUAUAUGAAUGAUGAAAUUGAUAUUGAAAUUUUACAUGACAACAUUUAAAGUAAUGUUUAUAAAUGAUUUGUUUGGUUGGUUCUUUUUGUAAGAAUUAGAUAUGAUAUGCAAUUUCUUUUCACUAGCUUACCCUUGCUUUUCUUGCUGUGUUUAAACUGCGAUGACUGUACUAUGUACACGAGCAGAUGAUCUUACAGGUAUCUGAGGAUCAAAAGAGUUUUAAGGCGUUGAUUUUGAAACUUAUAUUGUAAAUAUUUGUAUUUCUAUAUGUCCUAAUCAUGUAUUAAGAAUGUUUUGAAAAACUUUAUGCUUGUAUAGAAAUAAGUAGAAUCUGUAUUGUAAUAGUUAGAUGUAUUUUUCCGGGGUGUUACAAGGUUGGUUGAACCGUAUUCAUGGUUGACGCAAACUCAGUGCAAAAAUAAAACCAGAUAUUUUACCAAAAAUAUCUUAAUUUAAACUAAAAAUUAUUUCCCUUGAUCUUCUUCUCCUCUUGCAUUCAUUUAUUUACAUAUCUAAAACCAUAUAAUACUAGUUCGUUCAUUAUCAUUUUCUCAUUUAUAAUUUUAUAUCUAAACAAUUCAAAAAUAUGAUAUUUGUUAAGAGACUAUUUUAAAUAUAAAAUUUUAUCCACUAAUUUAGUAAAACAAUUAUGUAUAACUUUCCAUAAAAAUUUUAAAAAUAUAAAAAUUAUUUAUAUGUAUAAUUGUCAUUCUAUAAAAAAAAAUUCCAUUUAUAUACUCAUUCCAACUUUUUCUCAAUUUCAACUCUUAUAAAAGUAGAACUUUAUCUUCCAAUUUAAAUCUUUUUUUUAUUUACAUAUAAGUAUUUGUAUUGCAUUCUUUUUCUGAAUUAUGAUUUUUUACAACAAUUUUUAGAUUAUUAUUUUUAUUAUUAUAUAUGAUUGUUCGAUAAAUAAAAUAAAGCUUUUUUGAAAAAAAAUUAGGAUGUAUACAUAUAGUGUUAAAUCAACACCUUGCUUCUCUUAAGUUUUUUUAAUUUUUAAACCUUUUUUUUUAAAUAUGCAACACUCAAAUAUGACUCAAAUAUGACUUAAGAGAGAGUUUGUGUAGUAAAUAAUUAUUUAUAUGAGGUUAAAAUUACAGAAAAGCUUCAUUCACAAAACAAAUCUAAACUGAGGUUUAAAACCGAAUUUUGAACGGAGUUUUAUAUUUUUAUUUAAAAAUAUUAAAAAAUAGUUUUAAAUUUUCAAAAUAAAAAAUAUCAUCUUAAAAAAGAAAUAUUUUAAAUAAAAUUAUGAAAAAAUAUAUGUUUUAAAAAUAAAAAUUUAGAAAGAUAAUUAUAUUGAAGAAUAAUAUUUUAAUUAAAAAAAUAAAUUUUUACCUCUUUAAAUAGUGAUAUAUACUUUCUCGAACAAUAUUUUCAUAUUUUCUUGAUAGUAGUGAAUACUUCCAAUUUGAUAUAAGACAUAGUAAAAUAGCGUGGUUUUGAAUUUUAAGACUUUUUUUAUAAGAAAAACCCGAUCGAAACAUUUUUUUUUUCAAAAAUAAAAAUGAAAAAAUUAGUUUUAAAAAUAGGAAAAAGGAAAGGUUAAGAAAAUAUAUAAUUUAUAUUUUAUUAUGUUUAAACAAAAUAACUUGUAAAAAGAUAAGGAAAUUGGGAGAAAUGAUAUCCAAAUAUAUAUUAUGAAAGUUUUUGCAAUAAAUAAUUUAAAAAGACUUGGGGUCAACAGUUAUUGUUUUAUAUUUUUCCUUUUAUUUUGAGUCAACCAUGAAUAAUCUUCAACUCAACCUUCCACUCAUCACUUAUUUAACUGCACCUUCCUGCUAUGUGCCAAAUUGCCAGAGAAUAUAUAUUAUUUUCUAUUUAGAAAUUUAUAAAUUUCAUUUAUUUUAAAUUUUUAUUUAUAUAUUACAUUAAAUAAGUCACCGUAUUUAUUUAUUUAGGAUUUUGAAUAAUUUUGAAAUUCAACUUACUUUGAAUUUUUAAGUAGAAAAUUAAAUAAUUUAGAUUUUAUAUUUAUUUAAGAUUUUAAGAUUUUAUUUCUUUGAAAUUACUAGUAGAAAAUAAAACAAUUUAGAAUUUGUAUUUGUUUAGGAUUGUGGAAAAUUUAGAAAUUUUAUUAAUUUUAGAUUUUUAUCCUAUAAUGAAAUUAAAUAAUUUAGGAUAUGGAUAAAUUUUGAAACUUGAAAAUUUUCAGAAUUUUACUGAUUUUUAAUUUUAUUUAAAAAUGAUAUUAUAAGUAGAAAAUAAAAUAAUUUCAGAGUUUUUAUUUAAUUAGGAUUUUUACCAACUAUAGAAAUUUUAUUUAUUUGAGUUUUAUUUAUUUUUGUAUGACAUAAAAUAAGUUAGGAUUUGUGUUUAUUUAGAAUUUUUUAUAUUUUAGAUUUUUUUUUAUUAUUAUUUAGAAUAAUUUAAAAAAAUUAUUUAUUUCAAAUAUUUUCUUGUAAAUCUUUAUUUAAAUAUGAAAUUUAAUAAUUUAAGAUUUAUAUUUACUUAUAAUUUUAAAUAAUUUAGGUAUUUUAUUUUUUGAAUUUUUUAUUUAAGUAUGAUACUGAAUAAUUUAUUAUUUGUAAUUUUUUAAAAUUUUAAAUAAUUUAGGAAUUUUUAUUGAAAUUUUUUAUUUAAGUAUGAUAUUAAAUAAUUUAAAAUUUGUAUUUAUUUAGGAUUUUGAAUAAUUUAGAAAUUCGAUUUAUUUUAGAUUUUAUUUAAUUAAAAUAUUAAAUUAUUUAGAUUUUGUAUCUAUUUAGGAUUUUGAAAUUUUAAAAAAAUAUUAUUUAUUUAUAUAGGAAAUAAAAUAAUUUAGGAUUUAUAUUUAUUUAGAACUUGAAAAAAUAUAGAAGUUUAAUUAAUUUAGAUUUUUAUAUUAGAAUGUCAUUAAAUAUAAUUUUAGAAUUUUAUUGAUUUUCAAUUUUUAUUUAAGAAUGAUAUUAAAUUUUUUGGGACUUAUAUUUUUUAGGAUUUUAAAAAUUUACAAAAUUUUAUUUACUUUUAAUUUUUAUUUAAGUAGGAAAUAAAAUAGUUUAAGAUUUUGUAUUUAUUUAGGAUUUUAAAAAACUUAAAAAAAAUUAUUUAUUUGAUAUUUUUAUUUAAAAAUAAUAUUAAAUUAUUUAGAAUAUGUAUUUAUUUAAAAUUUUGAAUAAUUUAACAUUUUAAAAUGAUAGAAAUUUUAUUUAUUUUUGAUAUUUUUAUUUAAGUAUGUCAUAAAAUAAGUUAGGCACCGGAGAAAGCAAUGGCUUGUAGCUUGCAACCACACACUAAAUGAUAUCCAAAUAAUUUAAAAAGACUUGGGCUCAAGAAUUGUUGUUUUAUAUUUUUCCAUAUAUAUGUGCCAAAUUGAUAUAUAUAUAUAUAUAUAUAUAUAUCUUACCAAUUUCUUAUCACUCAUAAUAAUAACGUAAUAAAAAUUAGAAUAUGAUAAUCAAAUGACUUUAAUUUAGUGGUUAGAGGUAUCCUGGUUAGUGGUCCUAAGUUUAAGUCUCACCUACAACAAAAUGGUAAUAAUAAUAGAUUGUAAUAAUUAGAAAUAAUAAUUGUAAAUGAUUAAUAAUAUUUUUAAUAUUAAUAAUAAUUAAUAACACUAAUAAUUACCGACAAAAGAUUUUAUUGGUAAAUUUACCGAUAGAAUAUUUUUCGUCAAUAAAUUUACCGACAAACAUAUUAUUUAUAAAUUUUUAUCUGUCGUUUUUUCAUCGGUAAUGUAUACUUGUUGACGGAUUUUUGGUCUUACCUAUGGAUUAGACCGUUGAUUAUAUGUUUUUUUUUUAGUAUGUGAAACUUUUAUCACUAGUCCAUUCAUUUCUUACUUUUAAACUAAAUAAUCUUAAAGUUGCUAACAAUCUUGUGAAGUUAUUGAAUACUGGAUAAUUGUUUCUCCAAAUCAAGCAUAAAAGAAUCAUACACAUGUAUUCUUCCAAAAUUUUGUUACCACCAUCAUGUAUCCUUUCCUUUAAAUUAUCGUUUAUCCCUUCUUUAAUAUUUUUUAUCGUCAACAUAAUUUGAGUGACUAAUAUUUUUUCGUGUCGUAUACGUAUUGUAUAACUCUUAACAAUAUAAAAGAUAAAUCGAUGAUAAUUAUAAUAUCCCAACUAUUAUAUGAAUAAUUGUUAUUUGAUUCUUUGAUUUCUUGAAAUUAUAUCAUGCUUGUUAUGAUGUGUUGUUAGGAUUUGUUGUAAUUUUUUUCUUUUGUUUGCAUUGUAUUCCUUUUAUAUCUUGUGAGUCCAUAAAGUGUUUUUCCAGGAAUGCAAAAGGAUGAGUGUGGCGGUAUUUGAUGAUCAUAUAUUUACUCAUACUUAAUAGCUUUAAUCAUAGAUGUCUUUGACUAAAAUCAUGUAUAACUCUACUAUUUUAAGUAAGAAUCAUCUAACUGGGUUUAUUUGGACCUUAACUAUUAUUUAUGAUAAUAUUGUAAUUUAGUCCCAGUAGACGGUCCAAUGCUUCUCAGAGUUCAUUGGAUGGUCUAAUAAGAGCGUUUGCUAAAGAGUUUUAAGGAAGUUUUUAUCUCUACAAGUGGGUUGAAUAUGCGAAAGUCCAAGUUGCUUAUUUGAAUCAAAGAGAAAAAAAAAAUCUUAAGGGAAGAAUUAGAGAAUAAAAUCUAAUAUAUCAUAAACAGAAUUGGAAGCAAAUCUUUUGCAAAAUACAAAGAAACAUAGUUCAUGACGAAAGUGAAAAUAAAAUUUAGGAAUUCUGAAAAGUUAAAAACUUAAAAAUCGAAGCAAUAUCUAAACUGAAAUAUAUUUUUGAGAUCCUUGAAACAAAGAAACCUACAAAAGGAUGUAAGCUUCAAGGAGAAAGGGGAAAGUUUCAGAGCUUAACACAAUGCAUUCGAAAAACAGAGCAUUAGAGUUUUCUUAGGUUUUAUUUGUUUUUCUUCGUUAUAAUUCUUUCAUUUACCUUCGUAUGGAAGGUUAAACUCAUUCAUGUUGAUUCUCUUGUGACUUUGCAAUGAAUUUUGAGAUUUGUGUUCAAUAAAGUUUUAUUCUUAAAUUCUAUGUAGCAAUACAUGUAAAAAGGUUUGGUCUUUUUGAAUUUUGAUUUUUUUUAAAGAAUUUUCUUUGAACAAUUGUUAAGAAUUCUGUUAUUUUAAUUAAUUGGAGUUUUUGGUUAGUUUAUUUUACAUGCGGGUUAGACCGCAGUUCGCUACCUCUCCUCCCAGAAGUUUGCUACUAACUUCCUGCUAGAACAAAUACAGUCUGACUAACCUAAAUAAAUCACUUAUGUUUAAUUGAAUACAUACAAACUAGGGGAUCUAGACACCAACAGAAAAGGAAAAACAAGAAGGGACUUUAGAGGUUACCCAGGACCAGACUUUUAGUUGAGCCAUGGAGUUAGUAUGAAGAGUGACAGUGGAUUUAGUUUUAGGUAAAGUCUUAUAUUUAAAAUUUGUUAAUAAAAAAUAAUAUAAAAAAAAGAUUUCAAUAGGAUAGUUAAAAAAUUAGUCAUCUUCAUUAAAAUAUUCGUAUACAUUUACAUACAUAUAUAGAAAAAAUAGAUGCAAAACAAUAAUUUUAAUUAUUUUUAAUCAAACAUUCUAACAAUCCCUAUACUUCAACUUAUAUUUUAAUCUUAAUUGAAUGAAUUGAAACAUGAAUAAAAUUUUAACUUUUCAGUAGUAGAAAUAAUUAUUUUUUUAAUUAAUGAAAUUUUAAUUUUUGAAAAAAAAUAUUUUUCUUAUGCGGGCUGGCUCACAGGCCUGCGGGUUAUUUCUUAUGUGGGACGAGUCAGUGAAAUGAGUCCGCACUUGUUGUAUGGGGCGUGCUAACACAGUCCGCAUUUUGUGGGCCAAACGCAGGACGAGCCAACCCUCAUUGUCACCCCUAGUUUAUUUAAUUAUAAUCAAUCUUUUGUUCACUUAGUCAAGAGAUAAACGAUAAACAUUUCACAAGUAGAUGCUUGGAACUUGUGAGAUACUAAAUACAUCAGUAAACGAUUGUUUUGAUAAUAAGAUUAUGUUGACUUGGUUUGUUGAUAAGAUUCUAUUAAAUUCUAUUGACACUUGUUUGGUUAAGUUUGACAUUAUGUAAAAAUUGAAAAAAGUGAACAUCUUAAGAAAAUCAAUAAUAAAUUCAAUGUUGAAUGAACUUAAGAGUUGGACUGGAUUUUUUUUACUAUUUUUCAAUUAUGUACUUUAUUUUUCUACACAAUAAUCUCAAUCUUUUUAUUUUCAUUAUUUUUUCUCACCAUUUUGAUUGCAAAUAAGUUUUGAAUGCUAUCUUAACUAGAUUCAGUAGUGGAUUUGUUGGAAGAUGACUUGGAGUCAUCUAACCUUAACUACACUAUCAUUUUUCUAUGAUAUUCGACGAUUUACGUGAAUCAUUUUAAUUUCACCACUAAAUGAUAGUUAUCACAUAUCAAUGCUUAUUUAUAGAUUAAAAUAAAAUCUUAUUUUAAAUUUUGUAUAAAAUAAUUUCAUACAAAUAAAACAACAUACUAAUGUACAUAUUAAAGAAUCACCACACUAAAGUAUCAUAAAAAUGAAAUAAUUCCCCUUUAAAUUUUUUUAAAUCAGCAUACCAAUGUUAUAAGAAAAAAUUCAAAAUAUAAUUAUUAAAUAUUGAAUAUUUAUCCUCAAAUGUGAAAAAGGAAAGUUCAAUGAAGACACCAAAGAAAAAUGAAGAUGAAAAACGAUUAACCUUCACAAUGGUGAAGAGAACAAAUGGUAAGUCUUCACAUUUUACGACAAUAUCAACAAUCAUAAUCAAUAGAGACAACAAAGACCACAACUAUCACAAGAAAAAUAACAAUAAUAAUAAUAAAUGAGACAAAAAAUAUUAUAUUUAUUUUAGUGUAUUGAAAAUAAUAUAAUUUUACCAUAACUUAUUUUUUAAAUUGAAUAUUAUAUUUCCUCAUCAACCUCAAUAUGUAAUAAGGAUAAAUCUAAACAAUGAUAGUAGUAUGUAAAUAAUGACAAAUUUUUUGUAGUUAGAAAAAAAAUCAACUAUAAACCGCAAUGAUUGUUUUAUUGAUAAAAUCUUUAAAUUUUUGUAUAAUAUUGUAUAUCUAAAAUAUAAAAAUAUAUUUAACUAUUUUUUAAAGUUAUAGAAUUAAGAUUGAAAUAUUGAUAAUAUUUAAUAAUUAGUUAAACUUUUUUCUUUACAUAAAGCUUCCACACUUCUUUCAUUUCACAUUCUCAAAAGCAAAUACAAAACCUGUUAAAUAGGCAACAAGAAAAAAAAAAGGAGAAAUAACUGCGAAAGUGUAUUUAAUUAUUAUUGAUUUCUAGUUUUGAACGAAAUCUUAUUAAUUUAAAAACUAAUAAGAAACUAAUUAAGGGUAUGUAAUUUGUAAAAGUUUAAUUAUAAUGAUGAAAAUGUUCAAAUGAAAUGAAUUUAGUUAUAUAUAAAACCAUUGAAAAUAGUAUUAUUUUUACUAUGAAUUCAAACGAGUUUAAUCAACAAUGUAAAUUUCUUUAUUUCUUAUCUAAUAUAAAAUAAUAUUUUUAUAUAACCAAUUUAAAUUGAUUGGCUUAAUAAUUUAUAUACAUAAUUGUGAUAAUCGAAUUUAUGAUAGAUUAAUAUUGAAGUUAAAAUAAUGAUUUGAUCUAAUAGAAAAAGAAGCAUCUAAUUUAUUCUAUUCUUGAACUUUAAAAUAGAUAUUAUAAUUGACACUUAGGACCUCAUCUUAGAAAAGCGAGCCAAAUAAUUUUUUCCAAAAAUAACAAUGAAAAGUAGUAUUAAAAAAUAGGAAAAACAAAGUUUAAGAAAAUAUAUAAUUUAUAUUUGAUUAUUAAAAAGACUUGGGUCAACGGUUAUUGUUUUAUAUUUUUUCAUUUAAUAGAAACUAAUUUAAAUUUUUUUUUUAGUUUUUAAAACGGUCUUUUUAAUUUAGUAACUAAUUAUUUGAUAUCUAAAAUUGAUUUUUAUUUAAUUUUGUAGUGCAUUGAAAAAUAAAUUUUUUAAAAAAAGUAAAUAUUUACCUCUUAAAAUAAUGAUAUAUUCUUUCUCUAACAAUAUUUUCUUCAUAGUAAAUUCAAAUCUUAUAUAAGACAUACUAAAAUAGCGUGGCCUUAAUUUUUAUUUAAGACUUUAUUUUAUAAGAAAAAAUAGGGAAAGCAAAUAGGGAAGACCAUACGGGCCGUUCUGUGGCCCACUAGUAAAAAAUACGGGGUGGUUGUAGUUUUUCAACUCGCUAACUCGCUUUAUCUCGUCCCGCAUAAUCCCAGUCUGGACAGGGUAGGCUGGCCCGCUAGCCCGCAAAAAGAAUUAUGUAUUAAUAGGUUUUCAUUUUCCAUUCAUAUUCAUUCAUUCCAAAGCUAUUUUUAAUGUUUUUGAAAUAAAAGAAUAUUAAUAUUUGAUUUUUAUCUUCAUUGAAUUAUUGAUGUUAAACUAUGUUUGAAAUGGAAGAAAAAAAUAUUGAUGUUUGAUAAUGGUAAAUACAAGUUCAAUUUAACAAUUUUUCAAAAACAAAAAAUAUAAAUAUUUUUAUUAAAUUUCUAAAAAAAAAAAAAAUGAACCGUUGACCCACAAACUUGCGGACGGACUCUUAUAUGGGACAGAAUAGAGAAUCCAUUCAUUACUCGACCGACCCACUUUGCCAUCCUAAAAAAAAGUGAGCCGAACAAUUUUUUCGAAAAUAACAAUGCAAAAGUAGUUUUAGAAUGGAAAAGAAAAGUUUGAGAAAAUAUAUAAUUUAUAUUUUAUUAUACAUUAAAAUUGGUUAGAAAGUUAAGAUAAAAGUUAAAAGGGUAACUGAUACUGGAUGCCAAACAAUCAGCCACUAGCUUAAAAUCAAUUAACUCUAGCAGAAAGUUUUUAAACAAGAUUAUUAAAUUAUAAAUACUUGAUUAAAUUAUCUUCAUAAUCAUAAAUAUAGAAUUAUAGAAAUAUAUAUAAGUUCAUACGGUACUUCAUAUAAAUUAUAUUUUUAUUUUAUUUUAUUGUUAAAAAUUUAUUUCCGAAUAUUUAUCAUUUUAAUUUUUAACUAGUCUUAAACUUUUAUAUUUUCUAUUUAAAAAUCAAUCAUUUUAAUUAUAUUUUUUAUAUUGUGUAUUCUAUCAUUCAUAUGACGUAAUAUUGUAAAAUAUUUUCAAACAAAAUUUUAAACAAGAAAAAUAUCAUAUUUUUAAAUAGACACACGUAUUGUGUUACUCGGUUAAAAACAUUUUAAUAUGAAAAAAUAGUGUCCAUCAGAGGUUAAUAUUUUAAAAUUUAUUAGUAAACUAAUGAAAUGAAUAUUGUGAAUAGUAUAAUCAUUAAAAUAAGUAGUGUGAUAUAAAAAUAUUAGAAUGAGAAUUACAUUACAUAAUAUUAUUAUUAUUGAUAUGUAUUAUUAUUAUUGAUAUGUUAUGUGGUAAAAAGGUAAAUCAAUACAUAAAAUAAUUGAAACUGAAAAUAGAAAAAGCAAGUGUAUAAAUUAGUUGAUAACAGAUUAAAAAAAAAACUAAAUGAUAUACUACAUAUGUUAAUUAAUUUAUUUUGGUUAAUUAUUAAGGACACACUAAAUUCAUUAAAGGGUUUAAACGAAAAAUAAAGGGUAAAAUUGAAAUUAAAAAAUAAGAAUGUUUCUUAAAAAAAGUAAUAGGGUAUUGGAUUAAUUUCCGCAAUAAUAUAUGACGCGUAAUCUCUGUUGGCAUGAAGGUCGUCGUCACCUAAUUUUUCCUUCAUUCAAACCUGCAAAGAAAUGUCUUCAAUCUUUUGCCCCUUUCACAUCAUGCUACCUACAAUUGUCUUAUUUUCUAAAAUACUUUCUAAAUUAAUUUAUAUUAUUCUUAAAUAGUUUUUAAAUUGGUAUCUAAUUAACAAUCAAGGUUUUAAAACUUUGGUUGCUAAUUAGAUACCAAUUUAGAAACUAUUUAACAAUCAUAUAAAUUAAUUUAGAAAGUAAUUUUUUUUUAAUUUUUAAAGUGGUCUAUAAUUUAGUUAUUAUUGUGACUAAUUAUUUUAGUAUCUAAAAAUUGGUUUAUAUUUCAUGAUUUUCUUUUUAGUGUAAGCACCCGAUAAAACAAUGGAAAGAGACUUCAAUUUCAAUUGGAGCUUGUAGCCACAUACUAAAGAAUAUCUAAAUAUGUAUAAGGGAAAGUGGGUUCAAGAGUUUUGGUUUUAAAUUUGCAUCAGAAGCUUCCCCUUAAGUACAUAAUGGCACCUUCCACUCAUUUUCCCUUGAAGUAUUUACUUUUAUGAGAGUAGAACAGUGUUCAGUUUCUUUCCACGUUAUUAGAUGCAAUGAAACAACAUAUAUACCCUACCAAUUUCUCAUCAUUAAUAUCUUAUAUGCACAAUUUACAUACAAAAACUAAUUAAUAUACUAAAUAUGUUAAUUAAUUUCUUCCUUUUGGUUAAUUAAUAAGGUCACACUAAAUUCAAUAAAAGGUUUAAACAAAAAAUAAAGGGUAUACUCAAUUCAAAUUCAAAAAUAACAAUGUUUCUAUAAAAAAGUAAUAGGGUAUUCGAUUAAUAUUCUUAAAUGUAAAUUCUUUUUAAAUAUGCAAUAAAAUGAUAUGGUAUUUAAAUGAAUAAUUAAGAAAAAUUACAAAAAAAAAGCACGAUCUUAAAAAUCAUACAAAUUUUAAUGAAUUAUUUAUUUUAUUGAACUUUUGUAAAAUCUGCAUGGUUUUUUUAUUUAUAUGUGUAAUUGUCAUUCUAUAAAACAGUUCCAUUUUUAUAUACUCAUUCAAACUUUUUCUCAAUUUCAACUAUGAUAAAGUAGAACUUUCUCUUCCAUUUUUUUUAUUUACAUAUAAGUAAUUGUAUUGCAUUAUUUUUCUGAAUUGUGAUUUUCUACAAACAAUUCUUAGAUUAUUAUUUUUAUUAUUAUAUAUGAUUGUUCGUUAAAUAAAAGUAAAGUUUUUUUAAAAAAAAUUUAGUCUGUAUACAUAUACUGUUAAAUCAACACCUUGUUUCUCUUAGAUUUUUUAAUUUUUAAACUUUUUAAAAAAUAUGUAACACCCAACACGGUACAAUAAAAAAUAAAUUUGUAAUUAGAUAAUAUAAAAAAUAUUAAAUUAAUAUUAUUAGAAAUGAUAAAAUAAUUAUAUAAAAAAUGUGAAUUCUCAUUAUAUCAUUAAUUAUCCGAAGCCAUGUAAUUUCAUUUAAUGAGCAAUAUGCAAUUACAUGUUUUAUAAAUAUUCCAACAACUUUUAAACUACUUUUAAAAUGAAUGGAAGGUUGUGGUUGAUGCAAACUCAGUGCAAAAAUAAAACCAGAUAUUUUUUGUAAAAUAUCUUAAUUUAAUCUAAAAACCAAUAUAAAACCUCUUUUACGUUUGUUAUUAUAAUAAGUUUUUAAUUAAAAAAAUGUAAGCAUUCUUAUUUCCCUUCAUCUUCUUCUCCUCUUACAUUCAUUUAUUUACAUAUCUAAAACCAUAUAAUACUAGUUCGUUCAUUAUCAUUUUCUCAUUUAUAAUUUUAUAUCUAAACAAUUCAAAAAUAUGAUAUUUGUUAAGAGACUAUUUUAAAUAUAAAAUUUUAUCCACUAAUUUAGUAAAACAAUUAUGUAUAACUUUCCAUAAAAAUUUUAAAAAUAUAAAAAUUAUUUAUAUGUAUAAUUGUCAUUCUAUAAAACAAUUCCAUUUAUAUACUCAUUCAAACUUUUUCUCAAUUUCAACUCUGAUAAAAGUAGAAAUUUAUCUUCCAAUUUAAAUCUUUUUUUUAUUUACAUAUAAGUAUUGCAUUAUUUUUCUGAAUUAUGAAUUUUUACAACAAUUUUUAGAUUACUAUUUUUAUUAUUAUAUAUGAUUGUUCGAUAAAUAAAAUAAAGCUUUUUUUUUUUAAAUUUAGGAUGUAUACAUAUAGUGUUAAAUCAACACCUUGUUUCUCUUAAGUUUUUUUAAUUUUAAACAUUUUUUUAAAAAUAUGCAACACUCAAAUAUGACUUUAGUAAGGAAUGAGACUUAAAGAGAGAGUUUGUGUAGUAAAUAAUUAUUUAUAUGAGGUUAAAAUUACACAAAACUUCAUCCACAAAACAAUCUAAAGUGAGGUUUAAAACCGAAUUUUGAACGGAGUUUUAUAUUUUUAUUUAAAAAUAUUAAAAAAUAGUUUUAAAUUUUCAAAAUGAAAAAUAUUAUCUUAAAAAAAAAUAUUUUAAAUAAAAUUAUGAAAAAAUAUAUGUUUGCAAAAAUAAAAAUUUAGAAAGAUAAUUAUAUUAAGAAAUAAUAUUUUAGAAAAAUAAAUAUUUAAUACCUCUUUAAAUAGUGAUAUAUACUUUCUCGAACAAUAUUUUCUUGAUAGUAGUGAAUACUUCCAAUCUCAUAUAAGACAUACUAAAAUGGCGUGGCCUUGAAUUUUAAGACUUUUUUUUUAUAAGAAAAAACGAUCGAAACAUUUUUUUUUUCAAAAAUAAAAAUGAAAAAAGUAGUUUUAAAAAUAGGAAAAAGGAAAGAUUAAGAAAAUAUAUAAUUUAUAUUUUAUUAUGUUAAAAGAGAAUAACUUAUAGAAAGAUAAGGAAAUUGGGAGAAAUUUGAGUGUUUAUUGAAGAAUUAAAUUAGGUAUUAUAUAAGGCAGCGGAGAAACCUAAAUUAUUACACACUAAUAAUUUAAAAAUGAUAUCCAAAUAUAUAUUAUGAAAAAUGGUUCCAAUAAAUAAUUUAAAAAGACUUGGGGUCAACAGUUAUUGUUUUCUAUUUUUCCACUGAUUUUGGAUAUUUUAAAUUUUUUAUUAUUAUCAUUUACAAUAAUUUAAAAAAUUAUUUGUUUCAGAUAUUUUAUUUAAGUAGGAUAUUUAAUAAUUUAAGAUUUGUAUUCGCUUAAAAUUUUGAAUAAUUUAGGAAUUUUAUUUAUUGUGAAUCUUUAUUUAAAUAUGAAAUUUAAUAAUUUAAUAUUUAUAUUUACUUAUAAAUUUUAAUAAUUUAGGUAUUUUAAUUUUUAAAAUUUUUUAUUUAAGUAUGAUAUUGAAUAAUUUAAUAUUUGUAAUUUUUUAAAAUUUUAAAUAAUUUAGGAUUUUUUAUUUAAGUAUGAUAUUAAAUAAUUUAAAAUUUGUAUUUGUUUAAAAUUUUGAAUAAUUUAGAAAUUCGAUUUAUUUUAUAUUUUAUUUAAUUAAAAUAUUAAAUUAUUUAGAUUUUGUAUCUAUUUAGGAUUUUGAAAUUAAAAAAAAAUAUAAUUUAUUUUAUAUUAUUAUUUAUAUAGGAAAUAAAAUAAUUUAGAAUUUAUUUUUAUUUAGAACUUGGGAAAACAUAGAAGUUUAAUUAAUUUAGAUUUUUAUAUAAGAAUGUCAUUAAAUAUAAUUUGAGAAUUUAUUUGAUUGUCAAUUUUUAUUGAAGAAUGAUAUUAUAUUUUUUGGGACUUAUAUUUAUUUAGGAUUUUAAAAACUUAUAAAUUUUAUUUAGUUUUAAUUUUUAUUUAAGUAGGAAAUAAAAUAGUUUAAGAUUUUGUAUUUAUUUAGGAUUUUAAAAAACUUAAAAAAAUUUAUUUAUUUGAUAUUUUUAUUUAAGAAUGACAUUUAAUUAAUUAGAAUAUGUAUUUAUUUUGAAUAAUUUAACAUUUUAAAAAGAUAGAAAUUUUAUUUAUUUUUGAUAUUUUUAUUUAAGUAUGUCAUAAAAUAAGUUAGGCACCGGAGAAAGCAAUGGCUUGUAGCUUGCAACCACACACUAAAUGAUAUCCAAAUAAUUUAAAAAGACUUGGGCUCAAGAAUUGUUGUUUUAUAUUUUUCCAUAUAUAUGUGUCAAAUUGAUAUAUAUAUAUAUAUAUAUAUAUAUAUAUAUAUAAUAUAUUUAUUUAUUUAUUUAUUUAUUUAUUGCUGCUUGGAUGAAAUAGACUAAAUAUAUAUCUUACCAAUUUCUCAUCACUCGUAAUAACAACGUAUUAAAAAUUAGAAUAUGAUAAUGAAAUGACUUUAAUUUAGUGGUUAGAGGUAUCUGGUUAGUGGUCCUAAGUUUAAGUCUCACCUACAACAAGAUGGUAAUAAUAAUAUAUUCUAAUAAUUAGAAAUAAUAAUCGUGAAUGAUAAAUAAUAUUUUUAAAUUAAUAAUAAUUAAUAACACUAAUAAUUAUCGACAGAAUAUUUUAUUGGUAUAUUUAUCGAUAGAAUAUUUUUCGUCAAUAAAUUUAUCGACAAACAUAUUAUUAGUAAAUUUUUGUCUGUUUUUUUUCAUCGGUAAUACAUGCUUACCAUCGGAUUUUUAUCUUAUCUAUGGAUAAGACUGUUGAUAAUAUGUUUUUUUUUAGUAUGUGAAACUUUUAUCAUUAGUCCAUUCAUUUCUUACUUUUAAACUGAAUAAUCUUAAAGUUGCUAACAAUCUUGUGAAGUUAUUGAAUAUUGGAUAAUUGUUUCUCCAAAUCAAGCAUCAAAGAAUCAUACACAUGUAUUUUUCCAAAAUUUUGUUACAACAAUCAUGUAUCAUUUCCUUUAAAUUAUCGUUUAUCCCUUCUUUAAUAUUUUUUAUCGUCAACAUAAUUUGAGUGACUAAUAUUUUUUCAUGUCGUAAAUAGCUCUUAACAAUAUCAAAGAUAAAUCGAUGAUAAUUAUAAUAUCACAACUAUUAUAUGAUAUGAAUAAUUGUUAUUUGAUUCUUUGAUUUCUUGAAAUUAUAUCAUGCUUGUUAUGAUGUGUUGUAAUUUUUUCUUUUGUUUGCAUUGUAUUCCUUUUAUAUCUUUUGAGUCCAUAAAGUGUUUUUCCAUGACUGCAAAAGGAUGAGUAUGACGGUAUUUGAUAAGCAUAUAUUUACUCACACUUAAUAGUUUUAAUCAUAGAUGUCUUUGACUAAAAUCAUGUAUAACUCUACUAUUUUAAGUAAGAUUCAUCUAACUUGGUACAUUGGAUGGUCUAAUAAGAGCGUUUGCUAAAGAGUUUUAAGGAAGUUUUUAUCUCUACAAGUGGGUCGAAUAUGCGAAAGUCCAAGUUACUUCUUUGAGUCAAAAUGAGAAAAAAAAAUCUCAGGGGAAGAAUUAGAGAAUAAAAUCUAAUAUAUCAUAAAUAGAAUUGGAAGUAAAUCUUCUGCAAAAUACAAUAAAAAACAUAGUUCACGAUGAAAGUGAAAAUAAAAUUUAGGAAUUCUGCAAAAGUUGAAAACUUAAAAUUCGAUGCAAUAUCUAAACUGAUAUAUAUUUUUGAGAUCCUUGGAACAAAGAAACCUACAAAAGGAUGUAAGCUUCAAGGAGAAAUGGGAAAGCUUCAAAACUCAACACAAUGCAUUCAAAAAACAGAGCAUUAGAGUUUUCUUAGGUUUUAUUUGUUUUUCUUCAUUAUAAUUCUUUCGUUUACCUUCAUAUGGAAGGUUAAACUCAUUCAUGUUUAUUCUCUUGUGAUUUUGCAGUGAAUUUUGAGAUUUGUGUUCAAUAAGGUUUUAUUCUUAAAUUCUAUGUAGCAAUUCAUGUAAAAAGGUUUGGUCUUUUUUAAUUUCGAUUUUUGUUAAAGAAUUGUCUUUGAACAAUUGUUAAGAAUUUUGUUAUUUUCUUUAAUUGGAGUUUUUGGUUAGUUUAUUUUAGGGAUAACAAUGCAGAACAAGUCAUGUGGGUUAGACCGCAGUCCGCUACCAAAAACUGCAGGACGAGCUUACUAAUAUAGCCCGCUGACCCGCCCGCAUAACCUGCAACGGGGCAAGGCGGGGCGGGUUGGCCCACUGGCUCGCAUAAAUAAAAAAUUUAUUAUUAUUUGUUUAGUAUAAAAAAAAUCAUACCUCAUUCACCCAUUAUUGCAAUGACAUUUAUUUUAUUUUAUUUUAAAAAAAUUGAAUUUAAUGUACUAAAAAAAGAAUGUUUUAUUUUAAUCAUUUAAAAGAGUUAGUUUUUUUUUAUCAACAAUAAAAAAAAACACUUUAGGGUUGAUCCAACCCAUGUAAAAAAUUGCACAGAAACAAACAACCUCUCCUCCCAGAAGUUUGCUACUAACUUCCUGCUAGAACAAAUACAGUCUGACUAACUUAAAUAAAUCACUUAAGUUUAAUUGAAUACAUACAAACUAGGGGAUCUAGACACCAACAGAAAAGGAAAAACAAGAAGGGACUUUAGAGGUUACCCAGGACCAGACUUUUAGUUGAGCCAUGAAGUUAGUAUGAAGAGUGACAGUGGAUUUAGUUUUAGGUAAAGUCUUAUAUUUAAAAUUUGUUAAUAAAAAAUAAUAUAAAGAAGAGAUUUCAAUAGGAUAGUUAAAAAAUUAGUCAUCUUCAUUAAAAUAUUCGUAUAUAUUUACAUACAUAUAUAGAAAAAAUAGAUGCAAAACAACAAUUUUAAUUAUUUUUAAUCAAACCUUCUAACAAUCCCCAUACUUCAACUUAUAUUUUAAUCUUAAUUGAAUGAAUUGAAACAUGAAUAAAAUUUUAACUUUUCAGUAGUAGAAAUAUUUUUUUUUAUAAUUAAUGAAAUUUUAAUUUUUGAAAAAAAAAUAAUUUUCUUAUGCGGGCUGGCUCGCAGGCCCGCGGGUUAUUUCUUAUGUGGGACGGGUCAGUGAAAUGAGUCCGCACUUGUUGUAUGGGGCGUGCUAACACAGUCCGCAUUUUGUGGGCCAAACGCAAGACGGGCCUAUGCGGGGCGAGCCAACCCUCAUUGUCACCCCUAGUUUAUUUAAUUAUAAUCAAUUUUUUGUUCACUUAGUCAAGAGAUAAACGAUAAACAUUUCACAAGUAGAUGCUUGGAACUUGUGAGAUACUAAAUACAUCAGUAAACGAUUGUUUUGAUAAUAAGAUUAUGUUGACUUGGUUUGUUGAUAAGAUUCUAUUAAAUUCUAUUGACACUUGUUUGGUUAAGUUUGACAUUAUGUAAAAAUUGAAAAAAGUGAACAUCUUAAGAAAAUCAAUAAUAAAUUCAAUGUUGAAUGAACUUAAGAGUUGGACUGGAUUUUUUUUACUAUUUUUCAAUUAUGUACUUUAUUUUUCUACACAAUAAUCUCAAUCUUUUUAUUUUCAUUAUUUUUUCUCACCAUUUUGAUUGCAAAUAAGUUUUGAAUACUAUCUUAACUAGAUUCAGUAGUGGAUUUGUUGGAAGAUGACUUGGAGUCAUCUAACCUUAACUACACUAUCAUUUUUCUAUGAUAUUCGACGAUUUACGCUUGAAUCAUUUUAAUUUCACCACUAAAUGAUAGUUAUCACAAAUCAAUGCUUAUUUAGAGAUUAAAAUAAAAUCUUAUUUUAAAUUUUGUAUAAAAUAAUUUCAUACAAAUAAAACAACAUACUAAUGUACAUAUUAAAUAAUCACCACACUAAAGUAUCAUAAAAAUGAAAUAAUUCUCCUUUAAAUUUUUUUAAAUCAGCAUACCAAUGUUAUAAGAAAAAAUUCAAAAAUAUAAUUAUUAAAUAUUGAAUAUUUAUCCUCAAAUGUGAAAAAGAAAAGUUCAACGAAGACACCAAAGAAAAAUGAAGAUGAAAAACGAUUAACCUUCACAAUAGUGAAGAGAAUAAAUGAUAAGUCUUCACAUUUUACGACAAUAUCAACAAUCAUAAUCAAUGGAGACAACAAAAACCAUAACUAUCACAAUAAAAAUAACAACAACUGAGACAAAAAAUAUUAUAUUUAUUUUAGUGUAUUGAAAAUAAUAGAAUUUUACCAUAACUUAUUUUUUAAAUUGAAUAUUAUAUUUCCUCAUCAACCUCAAUAUGUAAUAAGGAUAAAUCUAAACAAUGAUAGUAGUAUGUAAAUAAUGACAAAAUCUUUGUAGUUGAAAAAAAAUCAACUAUAAACCGCAAUGAUUGUUUUAUUGAUAAAAUCUUUAAAUUUUUGUAUAAUAUUGUAUAUCUAAAAUAUAAGAAUAUAUUUAACUAAUCACCAACAUAAAAAGUGUUGGCGAAGACUAUACGUAAAAUGCUACAAAUGUAAUUAACGAAUCAACGGUUACAUUUAUAAAAGAAAUACAAAUGUGAUAAGUUGUGGAGGAUAAAUUAAUAUAUAUAUAUAUAUAUAUUUUGUAACAUUAUGUUUUCUAAUCAACAAAUUUUAAAAAAAAAGAUUGAUUUAUAAUAGUGAUUGUACAAAUCAUAUGAUUAAUUUUUUUCAAAAAGCUCAACAAAUUUAAUAUUUUAAAGUAAGAAUUAAAAAUGAAGACCCAUUUAUUUUGGAAGAUAUAGAAACAAUUGCAAUUGAAAUUUAUUUAGGUAUCAAAUUACCUUUUAAUGUCUUGAUAUUAAUCUUUUGAUUUGUUAAUAGUUGUUCAACUUUAAAGAAAGGUUAAUAAAAAUAGAUUUGAUGAAAGAAAAGUUAACUAUAAAUGAAAAGAAUGAUUUAAAAUUAAAAAAAGAUGGAUAUUUCUUGAAGAAAUUUGAUGUCCAAGAAGAAAAACUAGAAAAAAAAAACACAUUUUAACAUCAUCAAAGAUUUCAAUGUUACUACCAUGAAAUGAGAUUAAUAAAAAAGAAAUAUAAUGAAAGAAUUAAAUAGAAAAAGAAAGAAAAAUGAAGCACUAAAAAAAGACAAUUAAAUCUUGAAUUUAAAAUUCAAAUAAAGAGCUAUUAAGAUAAAGAAGAAUGUUAAUAUUUGCUUCAUUUUAUUUUAAUUAAUUUGUAAAUAAUCUUUUAAUUUUUUAAACGUUCUAUACAAAAUAUAAAAAAGGAAUUUAAUUAUUAUUAAUAUUCUAUUCGACAUAUAGAAUAUUUUACUCCAAGUAUAAAAUAUCAAAAUAAAAUAAAUAACAAAUUCUUUCAUAAUAAUAUAUAUAAUAAAAAUAAAAUAAAUAAGAACCUCAAAUAUUAUAUAUUUCUUAUAUCAUCAACAAAGCUAUUUAUUACAAUAAAGUAUCACGAUCUUCCUCUAGGAUGAGUUCAACCCCAUUGUUUGUUUCUAAAUUCCGUAGCGUGUCAUACAUUUGUUUCGAGCAUUCCCUUACAUUUACUCUUCUCAAGCCACUCAAAGACCAAAGUUCAUUUGGGAGAUCAUCUAAGCUUUCACAAUUGUAGAUGAUCAAACUUUGAAGCCUUGACAUUCCACCAUUGCCUAAUUUCCACUUUUCAAGACUCAAAUAUGCCAUUUCAAAAACUUCCAAUUUUGGGAAGCUGCCUUCCACACAAUUCAGGUCAAAGGAAUCCCCCUUAUAUAGAGGUCCCCAAAGUUCCAAAAUUUUGAGUUUGGUGAGAUUUCCCAAACCAUUCAUCCCCUCAUCAGUAAUGCGGUUAAUCUCUGACAACUCUAACUCCAUAACGUUUGGAGGAAAUGUGAAUGCACAAGUCAGAAGGUCAAAAACAUUUUCAAUAAUUAAGAAAGUUAUACAAUUGAACUGCCCUAGGCUUUGCAACAGUUCUUUCGGCUUGCAACCUUUGUCAUAAAUAUCCCAGAGGACAAUCUCUAACUUACUCAAAUGACUUGAUUGUUGUAGGCUUUGCAACAAUUUGGUUAUUUCAUCAUCUUUGUAUUCAGAAGUCACACACAACCUUAUCAUCUUAAGAUUGGGGAAUGUUCCUUUCUUUAUCAGAGAUGUUGCUUGUCUGUUGACUACGAGGUCAGAGAUGGUUUGAAGAUUCCACAUCUUCUCAUCUGAUCCUGAACAAUUGCCUCGUAGCUUGAUAGGCCCUCGUGCAUUCAAAUGCCUUAAAUGUUUAAGUUUCCACAUUUCGACUGGGAAAGAAAUUUCAGUCACAUACCUCCAAUUACUUAGGUCUAUGAUUUGUAGAUUCCAAAGGUGAAGUAUUGAAGAUGGAACAAAUGUAAAAUCAGAUGUUGCUUCAAUUCUCAAGUACCUUAAGUGGAUAAAGUUCCCUAAAUUAGAAAGGGUGCUAAGCCAGGUUGGUCCAAGCUCCAACACUCGAACCAAUUUGAAGUCUUUUGAAAGCCAUUUCCACUGCUUCCCAGUACCAAAGUCAUCUUGGCCAAAUAAGAACAGGGAUCGGAUACAUGAAUGAUCAUUGUUGCUCGAAGAAAUGUAAUGACCCACCUUACAGUGAAUGGAUAGUCUACGAGGUUUUGUCGGGAUUAGAAUGUUAUUGUCUGUGCAAAUUUCAAAAACUUUGUCCUCUUUACUCUCUGAUAUGCAGAGGUCUCGAAGAAGAUCAUGAACGUGAACAUCUCUAUUAGUCUUCCCUUUUGCUACUUGGACCAAACUACGAUCGAUGAGCUCAUACAAGUAGUCUUCAGCAACUUCAUCUGGAUCUCUAUUCCCUGUAUCUUGUAUAAAACCCUCGGCAACCCAUUUUUGCAAUAAUGGCGUAACAGGGAUUUGAAAGUCUUCAGGAAAUAUCCCAAGAUAGAGAAAGCAUGGUUUUAAUCUCCUUGGCAAGUUGUCAUAGCUGAGUUUGAGAACUAUAUCCUUCACUUGGGUAUGAUCUCGAGUGAGAUACCAAUUAACAUGACCCACCACUUUUGACCAUUCUCUGUGUGAUUUUUCCUUGUAGGCUAGCAGUCCUGCUAAGACAAUGAUGGAGAGCGGCAAACCACGACAACUUUGAACCAUUUGCUUUCCAAGAGCCUCCAAAUCAGAAGGGUAGUCUUCACCCCUAAACACUUUCCUGCAAAACAACUCCCAACUUUCUUCUUCACUCAGGAACUGCAGAUAGUAAGGAAGAUCAUGGGAAGUAUGCAGUGCCACCUCUUUCAAACGACUAGUGAUCAAUACUCUGCUGCCUCUGUUGUUGUCCGGAAAAACAUCUUGCACCUCGUCCCAAUCUUGCCUUUUCCACAGGUCAUCUACCACCACAAGAUAUGUUCUACUCUCCAAGCUGUUUCGCACCAGUUUCUUCAGCUCCUCCUCACUCAAGCUACUAUUGUCUUGAGUGCUUUUCUUUCCUUUCUUCUUGCCUCUGCAUUGUUGUUCAAAAUUUGGCAUCAAAUGCUUAAGAAGGCCAAGCAAAAGCUCCCUAACUCUGCACUCGUUUGACACAUAAACCCACGCUCGACACUCGAAGUGUUGCUGCACCUCGCUGCUGUUAUAGACCUUCCGAGCAAGGGUGGUCUUGCCCAAUCCCCCCAUGCCAAUGAUAGAGACAACUUUACGAUUUGAACCACCUUCCAAGAUUCGUUUGAUGAUAUCCUUGGAGUCAUCGACAAAGCCAACCACAUUUUCUUCCUCUACAUCUCUUCUUAGCUUGUGUAAUGAUUGCGCCCUUUCCUUCUCCUCCUCCUCUUCUGCUGCAGAUUGAUUAUUGAUUUCUUUGAAAGCAUCAUAUUUGUCCUUGUUGUCGCGUAUUUCGUUGAGAGUGGUUUUCAUCUUGUCUACUUUGUCGGCUACGUCAUGGAGCAACCUUACUUGGCCAAAGCCAUGAAGCAUCCUCCCGAGCAUGGUUCUCCUCUUGUAAAUGGCAACUUUGGCUACGAAAGUGUCGAUGACAUCCUCAGCUAGGUGGGCCACAUCUCUGAUUUGGUUCACCACUGUAUUUGAAAUUCCUUUCUUUCUCUUUGAGGUAUUGAGAAGUUCGUUGAUCAUUUGAAGCUCGUUCUGGAGGGACUGGACCCUGUCCUUCACGCCAUACAGCAAGUUAGCUUCACGUGCCACAAGCUCAGAUAAGUGAUCCAAAACAAAGGAAACUACACUGUCUGCCAUUACAGCAUAGACGUGCCUGCAGAUUUUGAUCUGUGCUUGGAUAAUGUGUUUGUGGUUGGUGAUGGAAGAACAACAAUGGAUUGUAGCUUGCAGCCACAUCCUAAGAUAUAUCUGAAUAUAUAUUAUCGAAAGAAAAGUGAUUGCAAUAAUUAAUUUACAAAGAAUAUCUGGUUUUAUUUUUGCAUUGACUUAGAGUCAGCCAUGAUUGUGGUUGAACUGAAGCUUCCACUCAUUUUCAAAGUUGAGUUGGAGCGCAUAUUGCUGAGUCAGAAUGCACCUUCCUGCUACGUGCAUGUCACCUUCUACUUUACUUUUAUGAGCCACGUUAUUAGAUGCAAUCAAACAACAUAUAUACCCUACCAAUUUCUCAUCAUUAAUAUCUUAUAUUCACAAUUUACAUACAAAAACUAAUUAAUGUACUAAAUAUGUUAAUAAUUAAUAUGAAAAGUGGUUGCAAUAAUUAAUUUAAAAAGACUUGGGGUCAAGAGUUAUUGUUUUAUAUUUUUCCAUUGCUUUUUCGUCCACAAUGAAUAAAGUUUUACCUUCCACUCAUUUAAGUUCACAUUGCAGCUUCGUGGUAUGUGCAUUGCACCUUCUACUCAUUUGUCAAAUUGCAAUAUAAUAUUUCCACGUUGAGAGUGCAAUAGAAUAAUAUAUGUGUAAAUCAUUGAUAUGCUUUUCCACAUUUUGUGACUACUUAAUUCUUCUAAGCCACACUGUUUCAUAUCUUAUCGUCCAAACCAAUCAAAAUUACAGAGACACAGUCCAACCUCUCUCUCUCUCUCUUCUCUCUCUCUAUAUAUAUGAAAAUUUAAGAAACAGUAAAAAGAUCACUGAAUAUUAAAAAUCAUACAAAUUUUAAUGAAUUGUUUAUUUUAUUGAUUGAAUUUUAUAAAAUUUGCAUGAUUUUUUAUUUAUAUAUAAUUGUCAUUAUAUAAAACAAAUUCUAUUUAUAUACUCAUUCAAACUUUUUCUCAAUUUCAACUCUGAUAAAAGUAGAACUCUAUCUUCCAAUUUCAAUCUUUUUUUUAUUUAGGCAUAACUAAUUGUAUUGCGUUAUUUUUCUGAAUUAUGGUUUUCUACAAACAAUUUUUAGAUUAUUUAUUAUUAUUGUUAUUAUAUAUGAUUGUUCGAUAAAUCAAAAUUUUAUAUAAGACUCUACAAUCAUUCUAUGUAAAUCAUUAGUAUAGGUCAUAAUAUUUUUUUUUGGGUAGAUUUUAUCUAUAUAUAUAGAUUAUGUAAUUAAUAAUUGAUUUCACAAGCUGGGAUAAGUGAUCUAAAACAAAGGAAACUACACUGUCUGCCAUUACAGCGUUGAUGUGUAUGUAGAGUUUGAUCUGUGCUUUGAUGGUGUGUUUGUGGUUGGUGAUGGAACAAGAGAAAGCAAUGGAUUGUAGCUUGCAACCAAACACUAAAGGAUAUCGAAAUAUAUAUUAUGAAAGUGGGUGCAAUAAAUAAUUUAAAAAGACUUUGGUUCAAGAGUUCUGGUUUUAUAUUUUGUUAUAGAUUUAGCGUGAACCACGAAUAAUGAAAAGUCUCUGCAAUAAAUAAUUUAAAAAGACUUGGGUUCAAGAAUUCUUGUUUUAUAUUCUUCUAUAGGUUUUGCGUAAACCAUGAAUAAUGGAAAGUGUGGGUGCAGUAAAUAAUUUUAAAAGACUUGGGUUCAAGAGUUCUUGUUUUAUAUUUUUCCAUUCAUUUUUCGUCAACCAUAAAUAAUCUCUAUAGAAUUCCAUAUAUAUAGAGAUUCUAUUAUAGUAUUCUAUUAAAAGAACUUCUUAUAAUAUUCAAUCAAGAUUAUAUAAAUUAUUUUUAAGAAUGCAUUAAAAUCAUAUGAUAUUUAAAUUAAAUUUAAGAAACAGUAAAAAAAGCAUUGAAUAUUAAAAAUCAUACAAAUUUUAAUGAAUUGUUAUUUUAUUGAUUUUUUCUAUAAAAAUUGCAUAUUUUUUAUUUAUAUAUAAUUGUCAUUAUAUAAAAAAAAUCCAUAUAUAUAUACUCAUUCAAACUUUUUCUUCAACUCUGAUAAUAGUAGAACUCUAUCUUCCAAUAUUUCAAUAUUUUUUGCUUUACAUACAAGUAAUUGUUUGCGUUAUUUUUCUGAAUUAUGGUUUUCUACAAACAAUUACUUAAUUUUGUUAUUAUUAUAUAUUAACUACCAAUUAUUUAUAUUUUAAAUUUGAUAGAAAAACCUUGAUUGCUAAUUAGUACCAAUUUAGAAACUAUUUAACCUAAUAAAAACUAAUUUAUAAACCAAAUUUUGUUUAGUCUCUAAAAUAAUCUUUAAUUUAGUCAAUAUAACAACUAAUUAUUUUUUUUCUAAAAAUUAGUUUCUAUUUCAUUGUGUUUUCUUAUAGUAAAAAAAGAAUUCGUAUAAAAUUUAGUUAUUCAUAUCAGGUUAAAAUUACACAAAAGUUUUCUCUAAACAAAUCUAAAGUGAGGUAUUGACUCUACACUUAUUUACGUGCACCUCCAAACAUAUAAAAACGUUACUUACAAACGCAAUCCAAACAUAAAAAUUUAAUGAAAUUUAAUGAAAGACAUAAAAAAAAAUAGUUCAUCCACUUUAUAAUAUGGUUAUUUGCCUAUAUAAUAUUUUAAGAGAUUUUUUGUUUUUCCACUUUUAUGAGUAGUUAAUCUAUCUAGCUACAUGUUUAUUUAUACCUUUAGGAGAAACAAUAAAUUUAAAAAAUAUGUUUUUUUUGUUAAGAGCACUUAAGGAUGAAAAUAAUUAUAAAUUUUAUUUAUUUAAUUAUUUAUCUAUUUAUGUUGGAUUGUGACUUAUUUGUAUAAAGUAAGAUGAAGAUUCAUGAAAAAAUUAGUAUUCUUAAAUAUGACAUUACUUACUUUUAAAGAGUUCUUAUUAGGUAUGACAAUACGAGAUGGGUCAUGCAGGUCCGUCCGUAAUCCACUAACAAAAGGCGUGGGUGAAUUCAGUAAUUUUACUCGCCAACCCGUUUAAGCUUCCCACAUAAAGCACAACCCGCGUGGGUCAAUAGUGGGAUAGGAUGGGCUGACCCGCUGAUCUGCACACAAACAAAAUGUAAAGUUGUGUAUUUAUGUCAAACACCAAUAUUUGAAUAGAUUCAAAAUAUAGAAAGAGAAACAUGUCAAUAAUAUUUUUUCAAAUUUGACUAAACUAGUUGAAUCAUCAUUUCAUUUCUUUCUUAUGAUGUAUGGUGGGAGUAUGAUCAUAUUUUAUAAAUAUAGAAAGAAAGAAAAAUCAACAAUGUUUCUUCAAAUUGGAUUAAACUAGUUAAACCAUCAUUUUUUUUCUGUUUAUUAGAAUCGUAUUUUAUUUUGUAUAAUGACCAUUUAUUUUGUAUGAUGACUAGGUUGAAUCAUUAAUUUUAAUUAUAUGUUUAUUUUAUAUUAUCCGAUAAUGUUUUAAUUUUGAAAUUGAAUUGGAAUGAAUGAGAAAUGUAUUGGAUAGUGUCUUUGUGGUUGGUAAUGGAAAAAGAGAAACCGUGAUUUACAUAGGACUGGUGAUAAUUUAAAAAGACUUGGGGUCAAGAGUUAUUGUUUUAUAUUUUUCCAUUGAUUUUUCGUCAACCAUGAAUAAUGAAAAGUGGAUGCGAUAAAUAAUUUAAAAAGACUUGGGUUCAAGAAUUCUUGUUCUACAUUUUUCUAUAGAUUUUGUGUGAACCGUGAAUAUUGGAAAGUGGGUGCAGUAAAUAAUUUAAGAAGACUUGGGUUCAAGAAUUCUGGUUUUAUAUUUUUCCAUUGAUUUUUCGUCAACAAUGAAUAAUGUUGAACUGAUUUAAGUUCACAUUGCACCUUCUACUCAAUUGCCAAAUUGCAAUAUAAUAUUUCCUCCUUCACGAGAUGCAAUAGAAUAAUAUAUAUACUUUAAAUAUAUAUUGCUUGGUGGUUGGAUAAAAUAGACUAAAUAUAUAUAUCCUACCAAUUUCUCAUCACUCAUAUCUAAUAUUCACAAAUAACACAUCAAAACUUAUCAAUAUACUAAAUAUGUUCAAAAAUAUUAUUUUGGUUAGUUAAUAAGAUCAAUUGAAGUUUAAAAAUACUAUUUUUUCCAUAAAAGCUACGUAUUAUAGUAUUCAAUUAAAUAAAUUCUUAUAAUAUUCACACUACUACAAGAAAAUAAGUAAAUAGAAAUUAAUUUUAUAGACCAAAAUAAUUAGUUAUUAUUUGACUAAAUUAGAGAUAUUUUAUAAACUAAAAUAUUAUUGUUAUCCAAAAUAGUUUCUAUUAUUAAUAAAAAAUUAUAAAAUGGUUAAAUACCAAUUUAGAAAUCAUUUAAAAAAAAAUUAAUAAUAGAAAAUUUUUUAGAUAUGAAUAAUUUUUUAGUAUCUAAAUUAGUAUAUAAUUUAAUCAAUACAGUAACUAAUUAUUUUUUAUUUCUAAAUUUAGUUAUUAUUUAAUAAUUUUCUUAUAAUGUAUAUAUUAUAUAUUAUAUAUUUAUAUAUAUAAUACAAUUGAAAUCAGGUUAAUAUAUUUUCUUUAACUUUUUAGGUUUAUCUCACUUACAUUGUUUCAUUGAAAUACGUCGUUUCAUUAAAAAAAAGUCAUCUACUCCUAUACUGGUAUGGCCGACCGACAUGCUGACGUGUCUUGGUCAUCCUGACCGAACUGAUCGAGACACCCACGGACGGUCUGGCUGACCGACACAUAUAACCAUUAACGCUCAAACCAAGGUCAGUGAAGCUAAACUAUCAUUAAGAAUUAUGUAAUGCAACCAUAAGUGUGAUCCAUUCCACUAAUCAGGUCCAAUGAGAUAAGCCCAUUAAAAUAAUAUAAAUAGCACACAUUCCAAGGAACAAGGUACGUCAUUAUUACUAUACACCUACCAGAGUGUCGAACGUCCUCUUUACUGACUUGAGCGUCGGAGUGCCUAUUGCAGGUACUUCCCCCAUUUGGCAUUCACCCGAGACUGAGAGCCGAAGGAGUAGCAUGAAGGCGAGAAGGAUCCCAACGACACCCUAGCAACUUGCUCGAGGAAAGGAGGAAGACAAAGACUUCAAUAGCUCUUUAGGUCUCAUCUCCCUAGCAGGAACAAUUGGCGCCCACCGUGAGGCCGAGAGAAAAUAGAUGGUCUCAACCAGAAGCAUGGAAAGGAUGACUGAUGCCGACCAGACAUUGUUGUUGUCUCUGUAGAGAGAGAUGGCCGAGAUGAAUAGGAGGACAGAGGAAGCUGUCCAGAAGAACGAACAAGAGAUGCAGGCUCUCCGAAGGGAGAAUGAAGAGAUGAAGAAGAAGCUGAUGGAGGGAGGACUGUCCACUGGGCCGACCAAUGUCGUCGACAGGUCCUUCACCUCUCCUCCCACAUCGAGACCGGUAGAGGAGACAAGAGACAAGGUUCCCACCCACGAGAUGGAGGGAGAAUCUUUUAUCAACAAGUCGGUCAGGACGACCAUCACCAUGGACUUGGUCCGCCGACACCCAUUCACCAACCCUAUCAUUGAAGUCCCACUACCAGACAAGUGGAAGGAUUUCAACCGAGAUCGAUAUGACGGGUCUACCGACCUGGACGAGCACAUGGAUGCCUACACCACCCAUAUGAGUCUCUACACCUCAGACGAUGCAGUGUUGUGUCGAGUGAUUCCCUCAUCGCUAAAGAGAGCAACCCUUAGCUGGUUUACCAAGCUCCCACCUAACUCCAUUGAUAGCUUCGCCACACUCGUGACGAAGUUCGAGACUCAGUUUGCCACCAGCAGGUCACACAACCUGACCUCCAUCGCCCUGGUACGCAUCCGCCAAGAGAAGGGAGAGUUGUUGAGAACCUUUGUUGAUAGGUUCAACAAAGUGGCAAUGAGCAUCUGGAACCUCAGCCCAGACGUUGUGUCAUGCAUCACAUGCUGGCAGCCCUGCGCCCAGGACCCUUUGCUGACAACCUGUGCAUGCAAUCAGUCGCCAGCUUGGACGAGAUGAGGAAGAAAGCCGCCAAGUAUAUGCAGCUGGAAGAGCUCAGAGAAUUCCGCAACCAGGCCCGUGCCGAGGCUAAUGGAGAGAAGAACAAGGAAGAGAAGGACCGCCAAGGCCGAUUAGGCCAGCGGGGUGACAGACGCAGAGAUAAUAGAGAUCGAGCAAUCUGAUUCUCGAGAUACACACCUUUGACGACCGAGAGGGGAAGGAUUCUAGACGAGGCACUCAACGCCGAGUUGAUCCCUCCUCCCAGAAAGGUGGCAAGCCCAAACAAUGUCGACCGAAGAAAGUAGUGUCGGUAUCACCAGAACAGCGAGCACUCCAGUGAGGAAUGCCAGGCUUUGAAAGGUAAGAUUGAAGAGCUCAUCCAGGAUAGGCACUUGCGCUGAUUCGUCAGGAAUGGCCGAGACGCAGGAUGCUCACCUCGUAGAGAGGAGCCCUCCAAGAGAAGGAGAUCACCCGGGGCCGAGAUGACCAAGACCGCGGGGACGAUCCUCCCAGGGAGGCCGAAAGAAGAGGUAACCGAGAGGUUAUCAACACCAUAGCCAGCGGCUUUGUUGGAGGAGGAAGUACCAACAACGCCCUAUGCUAGAAUAUCUGGAUAUAGAGGAGACGUGGUCCCAAUAUUCAAUUUAUUUUGCAGGGGUGUUGAUAUUGUUUAAAGUUGUAAAAAUAUUAGAUUUUGAUUGUUUAGUAUGUAAGUGUUGAUUUUUUUAUGUUAAAUAGGAUUUUAAAUGUCGUGGAUUUCGUUUUGAAAGAAAUUGUACGAUGAAAAUGGUAUGGAAUUGAAUUCAUACAUUUUGGAUAAUGUAAAUGUAUGAACUGAUGUUUAUUGGUGUAUUAAGUACUGAUGUUUAUGUGGUAACAGAGAUCUCCGAGCUUCACUGAUAAUUUAAAUCACAUACACUAAGAUAUCAGGUGGUGAGAAGUUGAUGGGGGAGUUCAUCACACCGUGACAUAUGAGAUGCAUGACUUGGGUUGUAUUGAACUUACCAUGAUCAUUUCUCUUGAAUUCACUAGUAAUAUUUGGAUCAGGUGUUAGUUUCUGAUAAGACUUACUUGAUAAGGGUCUUCCAGAAUGCAUCAGUUGUUAUUCUAUUUGUUGAAUAUUCUGAAUGUGUGCAUUUGUGUGAGAUCUAUGUGAUUGUUUUAUGUUGGGAUUUGAACAAGAUUGAAUAAUUGAGAAAUUAAUCCAUGUAAUUUGAUUUUUUCUUUUGAUUUAAUUGUGUAUAUUAUAAAAAUUUAUUUUCACUAAUUUACCCUUGUUUUUCUUACUGUGUUGUCAACUGCGAUGACCGUAUCAUACAAAUGUCGAAGGUUAUGGAAGUUUUAAGAUAUUCUUUUGAACCUUAUAUUGUAAAUAUUUAUAUUUUUAUAAGUCACAAUCAUGUAUUAAGAAUAUUUUGAAAAACUAUAAACUCGUAUAUAAACAUAAAAUUUGUAUUGUAAUAAUUAGAUGAAUUUCGUGUUACAUAGCCAAUUUAAUUUGAUUGCCUUAAUAAUUUUAAAACAAAGUAUAGGUAUUAUGUAUAAUACAAUUGAAAUCAAUUUGGCUUAAUAUAUUUUCUUUAACUUCUUACGUUUAUCUUACUUACAUCUUUUCAUUGAAAGACGCCGUUUCAUUAAAAAGAAAAGAAAAACGACAUCUUCUUCCUUUCCCACAUAAUCUCAUAUUUGAAAAUUCCUAUUUGAAACAUUAAUUAAUCUCGUAACCUUUAAAUGCAGUAGAAAUAUUUUAUAUAUUAGUAAUAGUUUAAAUGUAGAGUGAGAAAAGAUAAAUAUUUAGAUUUUUUUUUUCCUAUAAAAUCAUUUGUCUUACAAAUUGUAACUUUUUUUGUUUAAUCUAUUUCUUUCAUAUUAGAUUCAUUGAAAAAUAAUAUGAUUAUAUGCCUAUAUAAUAUUGUAAGAGAUUUUUUUUGUUUUUCCACAUUGUAUGAGUAGUUAAUCUAUCUAGCCACAUGUUUAUUUAUACCUUUAGGAGAAACAACAAAUUUAAAAAAUAAGUUUUUUUUUGUUAAGAGCACUUGAGGAUGGAAAUAAUUAUAAAUUUUAUUUAUUUAAUUAUUUAUCUAUUUAUUUUUGGAUUGUGACCUGUCACUACAAGAAAAUCAUGAAAUAGAAACCAAUUUUUAGAAACCAAAAUAAUUAGUUUCAAUAGGAACUAAAAUAGAGACCAUUUUAGAAACUAACAAAAAAAUUGGUUUCUAAAUUAGUUUCUAUUAUUUUCUAUUAUUGUUAAAUAGUUUCUAAAUUGGUAUCUAAUUAGCAACUAAGGUUUUAGAUACCAAUUAUUUAGUUUCUAAAUUUAGUCUCUAAAACCUUGGUUGCUAAUUAGAUACCAAUUUAGAAAUUAUUUAACAAUAAUAGAAAAUAAUAGAAACUAAUUUAAAAACCAAAUUUCUUUUUAGUUUCUAAAAUGGUCUCUAAUUUAGUUACUAUUGUAACUAAUUAUUUUGGUAUCUAAAAAUUGGUUUCUAUUUCAUAAUUUUCUUGUAGUGUGUAUAAAGUGAGAUGAAGAUUCAUGAAAAAAUUAGUAUUUUUUAAAUAUGACGUUACUCACUUUUUUUAAAGAGUUCUUACAAAUAAAUCUAUGUUUCAAAACAUUUUCAUUUCUUUUUAAUUAUUAUUUUAAACAUUUAUUUUGAUGGUUUCGAAUAUCUAAAUUUUUUACAGAUUUUAAGAAUUGAUAUUAAACCUAAUUUAGAUACAUAGUUCUUUCUUAAUCCAUUAAAUAUGUUAAUUAAGACAAAAUUGUGAUGUUAUUGAAUUCCAAAGUAUUUAGUACCAUAAAUGUGAUAAUCGAAUUUAUGUUAGAGUAAUAUCGAAAUUAAAAUAAUGAUUUCAUCUAAUAGAAAAAGAAGGAUCUAACUUAUUUUAUUGAACUCUAAAAUAGAUAUUAUUUUAGAUAUAUAUAUUUUUACACUUAGGACCUCUAACAAUGAAAAAGUAGUUUUAAAAAUAGGAAAAAACAAAUUUUAAGAAAAUAUAUAAUUUAUAUUUUACCAUACAUUAUUUAACUGUGUUUUAUAGAAUUAGUUAGAAAGUUAAAAGGAUAACUGGAUGUUAAACAAUCAGCCACUAGCUUAAAAUCAAUUAACUCUAGCAGAUUUUUUUUAAACAAGAUUAUUAAAUUAUAAAUAUUUGAUUAAAUUAUCUUCAUAAAUAUAAAAUUAUAGAAGUAUAUAUACGCUAAUAUGGUACUUCAUAUAAAUUAUAGUUUUAUUUUAUUGUUAAAAAUUUAUUCCGAAUAUUUAUCAUUUUAAUUUUUAACUAGUCUUAACAUUUUAUAUUUUUUUAUUUAUAGAUCAAUCAUUUUAAUUAUAUUUUUUAUAUUGUGUAUUAUAUCAUUCAUAGGAAGUAAUAUUGUAAAAUAUUUUCAAACAACUUUAAAAUAAAAUAUCAUAUUUUUAAAUAGACAUACCGUUACUCAGUUAAAAACAUUUUAAUAUUAAAAAAUAGUGUCCAUCAAGAUCAAUAUUUUAAAAUUUAUUAGUAAACUAAUGAAAUGAAUAUUGUGAAUAGGAUAAUCAUUAAAAUAAGUAGUGUGAUAUAAAAUAUUAGAAAGAUAAUUAUAUUACAUAGCAUUAUUAUUAUUAUUGAUAUGUUAUAUGGUAAAAAGGUAAACCACUACACAAACUGAAAACAGAAAAAGCAAUUGUAUAAAUUAGUUGAUAACAAAUUCAAAUGCAAAAAAAGGCUAAAUGAUAUUUGGAUAUAAUUUUAUAUAUAUAUAUAUAUAUAUAUAUAUAUGGAAUAAAAUAAAUUACAAAUUUCUCUUAUCCUUACACAAAUCUACUAAAUAUAACUCUUAAACUAAAAAUCCAAUCAUUAUAUUCAUCAUCUCAGAAGAAGAGUUAACACUCUGUUACUAGUUGAACCCUAUUGUUUAUUUCCAUAUUUUCUAGCAUGGUAGCCAUUUGGUGAGAUGGUUUCAUUACCUGCACUUUUCUCAAGCCAUUCAAAGACCAAAGUUUACUUGGAAGAUCAUCUAAUGUUUCACAAUUGUUGAUGAUCACACUCUGAAGCCUUAGCAUUGCACCAUUGCCUAAUUUCCACUUUCCAAGAUUCAAAUAUUCCAUUUCAAACACUUCCAGUUGUGGGAAACUGCCUGCCAAACAAUUCAGUUCAAAGGAAUUCCCAAAAUAACAUCUAUUUCCCGAAAGUCUCAAAAUUUUGAGUUUGGUGAGAUUUCCCAAACCAUUCAUCCCCUCAUCAAUAAAGGAGUUAAUCUUUGACAACGUUAACUCCGUAACAUUUGGAGGAAAUGCGAGCGCAAAGGUCAGAAGGUUAAAAACAUUGUCAAUCUUUAAGAAAGUUAGACAAUUGAACUGC
RNAcentral lists this long non-coding RNA (35698 nucleotides) under Phaseolus vulgaris (common bean). RNAcentral's name for it is "long non-coding RNA (PVUL_LNC000021)". Lineage: Eukaryota; Viridiplantae; Streptophyta; Magnoliopsida; Fabales; Fabaceae. The record is from RNAcentral.